This 425-nucleotide ribosomal RNA is filed under the name uncultured bacterium. Its description in RNAcentral is "partial 16S ribosomal RNA". It matches the Rfam family "Bacterial small subunit ribosomal RNA", at positions 354 to 796 of the family's 1533-position model. The record is from RNAcentral.
GUGGGGAAUCUUGCGCAAUGGGCGAAAGCCUGACGCAGCCAUGCCGCGUGAAUGAUGAAGGUCUUAGGAUUGUAAAAUUCUUUCACCGGGGACGAUAAUGACGGUACCCGGAGAAGAAGCCCCGGCUAACUUCGUGCCAGCAGCCGCGGUAAUACGAAGGGGGCUAGCGUUGCUCGGAAUUACUGGGCGUAAAGGGAGCGUAGGCGGACAUUUAAGUCAGGGGUGAAAUCCCGAGGCUCAACCUCGGAACUGCCUUUGAUACUGGGUGUCUUGAGUGUGAGAGAGGUGAGUGGAACUCCGAGUGUAGAGGUGAAAUUCGUAGAUAUUCGGAAGAACACCAGUGGCGAAGGCGACUCACUGGCUCAUUACUGACGCUGAGGCUCGAAAGCGUGGGGAGCAAACAGGAUUAGAUACCCUAGUAGUCC